RNAcentral lists this ribosomal RNA (492 nucleotides) under uncultured bacterium. RNAcentral's name for it is "partial 16S ribosomal RNA". It matches the Rfam family "Bacterial small subunit ribosomal RNA", at positions 29 to 507 of the family's 1533-position model. The record is from RNAcentral.
AGUGAACGCUGGCGGUAGGCCUAACACAUGCCAGUCGAACGGCAGCACAGUAAGAGCUUGCUCUUACGGGUGGCGAGUGGCGGACGGGUGAGGAAUACAUCGGAAUCUACUUUUUCGUGGGGGAUAACGUAGGGAAACUUACGCUAAUACCGCAUACGACCUACGGGUGAAAGCAGGGGAUCUUCGGACCUUGCGCGAUUGAAUGAGCCGAUGUCGGAUUAGCUAGUGGGCGGGGUAAAGGCCCACCAAGGCGACGAUCCGUAGCUGGUCUGAGAGGAUGAUCAGCCACACUGGAACUGAGACACGGUCCAGACUCCUACGGGAGGCAGCAGUGGGGAAUAUUGGACAAUGGGCGCAAGCCUGAUCCAGCCAUACCGCGUGGGUGAAGAAGGCCUUCGGGUUGUAAAGCCCUUUUGUUGGGAAAGAAAAGCAGCAGGUUAAUACCCCGCUGUUCUGACGGUACCCAAAGAAUAAGCACCGGCUAACUUCGUG